GGUCGGGAUAGCUCAGCUGGUAGAGCAGAGGAC
Molecule: transfer RNA, 33 nt
Filed under: Ostryopsis nobilis
Lineage: Eukaryota; Viridiplantae; Streptophyta; Magnoliopsida; Fagales; Betulaceae
Also listed under: 2 other names
Description: partial tRNA-Phe
Source: RNAcentral